Non-coding RNA from Homo sapiens (human), 336 nucleotides. The record is from the annotation of a RefSeq genome assembly. NCBI's taxonomy places the organism in Eukaryota, Metazoa, Chordata, Mammalia, Primates, Hominidae.
AUGGAGACCCUCUUGGGCCUGCUUAUCCUUUGGCUGCAGCUGCAAUGGGUGAGCAGCAAACAGGAGGUGACGCAGAUUCCUGCAGCUCUGAGUGUCCCAGAAGGAGAAAACUUGGUUCUCAACUGCAGUUUCACUGAUAGCGCUAUUUACAACCUCCAGUGGUUUAGGCAGGACCCUGGGAAAGGUCUCACAUCUCUGUUGCUUAUUCAGUCAAGUCAGAGAGAGCAAACAAGUGGAAGACUUAAUGCCUCGCUGGAUAAAUCAUCAGGACGUAGUACUUUAUACAUUGCAGCUUCUCAGCCUGGUGACUCAGCCACCUACCUCUGUGCUGUGAGG